Molecule: unclassified non-coding RNA, 358 nt
Filed under: soil metagenome
Description: partial contains 5.8S ribosomal RNA, internal transcribed spacer 2, and large subunit ribosomal RNA
Rfam family: 5.8S ribosomal RNA (bases 1-120)
Source: RNAcentral
GAUGAAGAACGCAGCGAAAUGCGAUAAGUAAUGUGAAUUGCAGAAUUCAGUGAAUCAUCGAAUCUUUGAACGCACAUUGCGCCCGUCAGUAUUCUGGCGGGCAUGCCUGUUCGAGCGUCAUUACGCCCCUCAAGUCCCCUGUGGACUUGGUGUUGGGGAUCGGCGAGGUUGGUUUUCCAGCACAGCCGUCCCUUAAAUUAAUUGGCGGUCUCGCCGUGGCCCUCCUCUGCGCAGUAGUAAAACACUCGCAACAGGAGCCCGGCGCGGUCCACUGCCGUAAAACCCCCCAACUUUUUAUAGUUGACCUCGAAUCAGGUAGGACUACCCGCUGAACUUAAGCAUAUCAAUAAGCGGAGGA